CCUUGCCAGCCCGCUCAAGAAACUUAAUGAAUUGACGGGGCCCGCACAAGCGGUGGAGUAUGUGGUUUAAUUCGAUGCAACGCGAAGAACCUUACCUGGUCUUGACAUCCCGGAGACCCUUAGGAAACUAGGGGGUGCUUCCAUCUGGAAGAAUCUGGAGACAGGUGCUGCAUGGCUGUCGUCAGCUCGUGUCGUGAGAUGUUGGGUUAAGUCCCGCAACGAGCGCAACCCUUGCCUUUAGUUGCCAGCAGUUCGGCUGGGCACUCUAAAGGGACUGCCGGUGUUAAACCGGAGGAAGGUGGGGAUGACGUCAAGUCCUCAUGGCCUUUAUGACCAGGGCUACACACGUACUACAAUGGCCGAUACAAAGGGCAGCGACACUGCGAGGUGAAGCCAAUCCCGUAAAAUCGGUCUCAGUCCGGAUUGGAGUCUGCAACUCGACUCCAUGAAGUUGGAAUCGCUAGUAAUCGUGGAUCAGCAUGCCACGGUGAAUACGUUCCCGGGCCUU
This 508-nucleotide ribosomal RNA is filed under the name uncultured Desulfobulbus sp. RNAcentral's name for it is "bacterial SSU rRNA". It matches the Rfam family "Bacterial small subunit ribosomal RNA", at positions 904 to 1382 of the family's 1533-position model. Lineage: Bacteria; Pseudomonadati; Thermodesulfobacteriota; Desulfobulbia; Desulfobulbales; Desulfobulbaceae. The record is from RNAcentral.